UGUUGUUGCUCAGUUGGUAGAGCGGAGGAUCGUAGAAUCGCGGCAAUCUUCAGAUCGCUGGUUCGAAUCCGGCUCGACGG
Teladorsagia circumcincta is the source of this 80-nucleotide non-coding RNA. The record is from the annotation of a GenBank genome assembly. Lineage: Eukaryota; Metazoa; Nematoda; Chromadorea; Rhabditida; Trichostrongylidae.